This 403-nucleotide ribosomal RNA is filed under the name uncultured bacterium. RNAcentral describes it as "partial 16S ribosomal RNA". It matches the Rfam family "Bacterial small subunit ribosomal RNA", at positions 28 to 526 of the family's 1533-position model. The record is from RNAcentral.
GACGAACGCUGGCGGCGUGCCUAAUACAUGCAAGUCGAACGCAGUGGGGACGGGUGAGUAACACGUGGGUAACCUCCCAUCAGAGGGGAUAACACUUGGAAACAGGUGCUAAACUGAUACUGAUGGAUGUACCCGCGGUGCAUUAGCUAGUUGGAGGGGUAACGGCUCACCAAGGCGACGAUGCAUAGCUGACCGGAGAGGGUGAUCAGCCACACGGGGACUGAGACACGGCCCAGACUCCUACGGGAGGCAGCAGUGGGGAAUCUUCGGCAAUGGACGAAAGUCUGACCGAGCAACGCCGCGUGAGUGAAGAAGGUUUUCGGGUCGUAAAACUCUGUUGGUAGCGAAGCGGUAUCUAAACAGAAAGCCACGGCUAACUACGUGCCAGCAGCCGCGGUAAUUC